Molecule: long non-coding RNA, 641 nt
Organism: Lacerta agilis (Sand lizard)
Lineage: Eukaryota; Metazoa; Chordata; Lepidosauria; Squamata; Lacertidae
Exons: 3
Source: RefSeq, a predicted model, not a curated record
GCUUUACAUGAGGCUGCGCUGGAAGAUGGUCUGGAAGCUACAGCCAGUGCAAAAUGCAGCAGCCAGAAGGUACCUCAUGUUCCAUUGAGAAGCCCAGCAGAGUGGCCAAAGUCCAGCUGUAGCCACGGUUUCCUUUGCAUUGACUUCUUUCUUCUGAACUGGUCUUAGCUGAGUAAUUAGACAGCACAGCGUAUUGGAUUAGCACACAUCAGUGAUGCAUAUUAAUCACAGAAUGGAGACAGAGCACUACGAGAUGCAGCAGAAGCUCGGUGAGUACCCAUUUAUACACAAACGGAAAAAUAAUAGUCUUUCUAUUUCAGACGGCAUGACAUUUUAUAGGUAAAUGUUAAUUUCGUUUUCACUUGGGAGGAGCCACUUAGCUUACCAUAGACCACAUGAUCUGCAUGUGCAUGUCCCACAUUUACUGACCAGCAUCUCUAGUUAAGAGGAUCUGAGUAGUAGCCUGGCUAGCAAAGACCUCUGUCUGCUUCCAGAUGACAGUGUGAGCUGUCUUGGAAAAGUACUCAGAAAUUACAACAGGUUCACAAUGCAGCUGCCAGAUUAUUUGACCAGAUAGGUAACAGGAACGUCCAUUUGCAAACAGUUGCACUAGCUCACUAUACAGUUUCUAGGCUCAAAUU